GCUGGGUGUGGUGGCGGGCACCUGUAAUUCCAGCUACUUGGGAGGCUGAGGCAGGAGAAUCGCUUGAACCUGGGGGAUGGAGGUUACAGUGAACCAAGAUCAUGCCACUGCACUCCAGCCUAGGUGACAAAGCGAGACUCUGUCUCAA
RNAcentral lists this non-coding RNA (148 nucleotides) under Chlorocebus sabaeus (green monkey). Lineage: Eukaryota; Metazoa; Chordata; Mammalia; Primates; Cercopithecidae. The record is from Rfam by way of RNAcentral.